UCCUCAGGCUUUUGGAAUGUAAGCUGCCUCAUUUAGAGCCAGAACAGGACUCUAUACAUCAUUCUGCUGACUAUAAGACAGAAAUACCGUCUUCCCCCUACUUCCCCUUUCUGGUUUUAUACAUGCAUACUUUGCUUGUGGAAACAGUUAAGAUUGCCUGCUGGGGAGGAGAAGUUUCCUGGGCUGGGCAGAGACUGGAAAGCAAGGAGUGAAAGGAUCAAGACAAAAAAUAGGAGGUCAUGUGGAGUGCUUUUAGCUGCUUCUGAUGGUCUUACGGUGACUCUGUACCUUAAGCUCAAGGUGUAAUGACCAAAACAGCCUCUAUUUAGAAAAUUCAGCUUCUAAAAAUGAGCACUGUGUGAUUAUUCCAACUUGUGCAGAGAUACUGGGGAAUCUCCUGCUGUUCUUGGGCUUGUUAAAGUCACUGAUGCUCACUCAUCCUGA
This 444-nucleotide long non-coding RNA is filed under the name Dromaius novaehollandiae (emu). Its description in RNAcentral is "lncRNA (ENSDNVG00000004864.1)". Lineage: Eukaryota; Metazoa; Chordata; Aves; Casuariiformes; Dromaiidae. The record is from RNAcentral.